Molecule: long non-coding RNA, 549 nt
Organism: Jaculus jaculus (lesser Egyptian jerboa)
Lineage: Eukaryota; Metazoa; Chordata; Mammalia; Rodentia; Dipodidae
Exons: 2
Source: RefSeq, a predicted model, not a curated record
AGGUCAACUUCAACUGACAUAGAGGAUUAUUAAAGACAACAGAAUUCUCUCUGAGUUGAAUGAAAGAGAGAAAGAGAGAGAUGAUGGCAAUACUGCUCAUGUCUCAGUCCAUGAGUGCCAGUCCUGCAUGGCUGGUGCUUCAGUCUCUACAACCUGGAAAGACCCUGAGCCAGUGUGACUCCACUAUGGAAAGAUACACACUGGAACAACCUGUCGCAGCUGAGCUGUCUCCAUGGAUGAAUCCAGGGCAGGGAAGACCCAGAACUUCUGUGCCUCCUCCAUGGACAGAUCCAGUGUUCAGAAGACCAAGAGCCCUGGCACCUCCUCUGUGGAUGGAUCCAGUGCCAGAAUGAUCCAGAACUGUGAGCCUCCUCUUUGAUGGAUCCUCCCGGUGCAGUGAGUAGAGACACUGCUUUAUGAGGAGCACCAGAUCUGUGAACUUGUGCAUCCCCACCUACGCCCUACCCUCCAAUCCACUCCUGAAAGAUAUCCCCCUGCUAUGAGCUUGCAUAAGAUGCGUGCUUUUUUCAUUUAAAAUGUAUUUGUUCA